AUUGAACGCUGGCGGCAUGCCUUACACAUGCAAGUCGAACGGCAGCACGGGGGCAACCCUGGUGGCGAGUGGCGGACGGGUGAGUAAUGCAUCGGAACGUGCCCUGAAGUGGGGGAUAACGCAGCGAAAGCUACGCUAAUACCGCAUAUUCUGUGAGCAGGAAAGCAGGGGAUCGCAAGACCUUGCGCUUUGGGAGCGGCCGAUGUCGGAUUAGCUAGUUGGUGGGUAAAGGCCUACCAAGGCGACGAUCCGUAGCGGGUCUGAGAGGAUGAUCCGCCACACUGGGACUGAGACACGGCCCAGACUCCUACGGGAGGCAGCAGUGGGGAAUUUUGGACAAUGGGCGAAAGCCUGAUCCAGCCAUGCCGCGUGAGUGAAGAAGGCC
This 385-nucleotide ribosomal RNA is filed under the name uncultured bacterium. RNAcentral's name for it is "bacterial SSU rRNA". It matches the Rfam family "Bacterial small subunit ribosomal RNA", at positions 29 to 416 of the family's 1533-position model. The record is from RNAcentral.